GUUGAACGCUGGCGGCAGGCCUAACACAUGCAAGUCGAGCGGAUGAAGGGAGAUAGCUUCUGGCUUCAGCGGCGGCCGGGUGAGUAAUGCCUAGAAAUCUGCCUGACAGUGGGGGAACACGUCCGGUACCGGGCGCUAAUAGCGCAUAAGGCCUGAGGGUGCCGGAUGGGGGCACUCUGUCCCAAGACAUUCAGAUGAGACCAGGUCGGAUUUGAUAGGUGGUGGGGUAAGGGCCUCCCGAGGGGACGAUCCGUACCGACUCUGAGGGGGUGAACAAGCACACUGGAACUGAGGCACGGUCCAGACUCCUGCGGGAGGCAGCAGUGGGGAAUAUUGGGCGAUGGGCGAAAGCCUGAUCCAGCCAUGCCGCGUGUGUGAAGAAGGUCUUCGGAUUGGAAAGCACUUUAAGUUGGGAGGAAGGGCAGUAAGUUAAUACCUUACUGUUCUGACGUUACCAACAGAAGAAGCACCGGCUAACUUCGUG
This 484-nucleotide ribosomal RNA is filed under the name uncultured bacterium. Its description in RNAcentral is "partial 16S ribosomal RNA". It matches the Rfam family "Bacterial small subunit ribosomal RNA", at positions 28 to 507 of the family's 1533-position model. The record is from RNAcentral.